RNAcentral lists this non-coding RNA (30 nucleotides) under Rattus norvegicus (Norway rat). Lineage: Eukaryota; Metazoa; Chordata; Mammalia; Rodentia; Muridae. The record is from RNAcentral.
UGAGAAGGGGCUUUUAUUCCGUAAUCUUGA